UAUCACUUACAAUAGGAAUUGGUUUAAAUUCCCCAAUUAAUUCUAGUCGGUCAAAUAUAUGAAUAAAUUGAUUUAACCUUUAUACCAUUAAUAUCAACAUAUUUCAUUUUUCAUAAAGAAGGACAAAAGUUUUCUAUGGGUAGAAAUUGAUAGUUGCUAAUUUGGGAAGCUUUCAAAUUCAUAGCAUGCCGGUGGCUGUGUUCAAAGUGCUGGGUUUUUUUUAUCACCCUCGUUGUUUGCGGACUAACGAUUUAGGCCUGUGAAGGAUAAUAGUGUGCGUGCAUUAAUUUUCUAUACCUUCUUAAUUAAUAUUUUCAUAUACUGACGGCAAGUGUUGUAAUGUAUCAGUGUCUUAUUUGAGACCAACGUGCUAUUUACAUGUGCGAUCGAAAAUGCAGGGGAAGGAAACUUGUCAAUUGUGUUUAUUUUUAAUCCAAAAUAAAAUAAGCCGCCGUAAAAUUAACCUUGGGUAAAUUCCUCAAAUUGAUGACAGAGGCUUCUUUUUUUUAAGCUAUAUUUUUAAUGACUUACACGUUUUACCAUUAUUCUUUUUCUUUCACUAUUCUUUGUUCCUUUUUUUCUUUGCCCGUUAUUCUCUAUUCUGUUAAUUCACAUCCACCAUACCCUCUUAUGUGGACUUUCGGUGGUUUAUUUUUUUAGUUCUGUGAUAAGUCAAUAUUUCAUGCAGGUUCAUGAAAUAAUGGUUUUAUGCAUAUCAGCCAAGAUUGUGCGUGGAAUUUUAAUAAACAAUUCAACACCACACGUUAUGUGAAUUUGAUUAAAAUCGAUGAACAUGAAUUUGACAGCUAGUAGUGACCCUUUUACAGGUAAAAUUCAAUUAACAAAUUCUGACCUACUGGCAUUCAACAC
This 870-nucleotide long non-coding RNA is filed under the name Mytilus galloprovincialis (Mediterranean mussel). Lineage: Eukaryota; Metazoa; Mollusca; Bivalvia; Mytilida; Mytilidae. The record is from RNAcentral.